GCCGGGGUGGUGAAAUCGGUAAACACAGGGGACUUAAAAUCCCCCGGGCUUCGGCCCUUGCGGGUUCAAGUCCCGCCCCCGGCA
Molecule: transfer RNA, 84 nt
Filed under: Gemmatimonadota bacterium
Lineage: Bacteria; Pseudomonadati; Gemmatimonadota
Description: tRNA-Leu
Rfam family: tRNA
About the family: Transfer RNA (tRNA) molecules are approximately 80 nucleotides in length. Their secondary structure includes four short double-helical elements and three loops (D, anti-codon, and T loops).
Source: RNAcentral